Long non-coding RNA from Daktulosphaira vitifoliae (grape phylloxera), 591 nucleotides. RefSeq lists it as uncharacterized. NCBI's taxonomy places the organism in Eukaryota, Metazoa, Arthropoda, Insecta, Hemiptera, Phylloxeridae. The transcript has 5 exons. The record is from RefSeq and is a predicted model, not a curated record.
GAGAUAUAUAACAUUUUUUUUAAUUUUCAGCUCCAUUGUAUCCGAACAUUAAUGUACUUAUAGUACAAGUAAUAGAUCAUACCUAUGGUUGUGAGCUUAGAUUGCAAGAAAUUUUAAAGACAUAUUUUUUAAAAUUGAAUAACAGCAUUGCUAACGAUUGCCUGGACUAUGUAAAAGAAAAUGUUGUCUAUAGCCUUGCUGUCUCUAAACGUGUUGAUUUGGUAAAGGCGAUUGCUGUUCGGACGUUAUUUCAUAAUAAUGAUGGCAAAACAAUGUGCAAAGAUGAUAAUAAACAUAAAUGUAAAUUAGCUGCAUUAAUACAUUACGCUUCAAAUAGGGAUUUGAAUUUAAAACUCACAGGAGGGUGUGAUAUUUUGGGAAAUUGUUCAUUCUUUUACACUAGUUUGGUAAAAAAAACAAAGGGACAUGUGUCUUUCCGACAAAUAGUAGAGAAAAAAGGUGAAAGGAACCACCACCCAAUAAUAGAAAUAUCAAAAGGUGGAAAAGAAUUCCAAGAUUUCUUUGUUUCUCUUGAAUAACAAAUGUGUUUUACUUAUACGAAAUAUAUGAAAUAAACUUAUUAAUACCUUA